GAUCCUGGCUCAGAACGAACGCUGGCGGCAUGCUUAACACAUGCAAGUUGAACGCAGAAUAGGGCUUCGGCUCUAUUGCUGAGUAGCAAACGGGUGAGUAACGCGUGGGAAUCUGCCUUCUUGUGGGGGAUAACUAAGGGAAACUUUAGCUAAUACCGCAUACGCUCUACGGAGGAAAGGCUUCGGCCGCAAGAAGAGGAGCCCGCGUCAGAUUAGGUAGUUGGUAGGGUAAAAGCCUACCAAGCC
Molecule: ribosomal RNA, 246 nt
Filed under: uncultured bacterium
Lineage: Bacteria
Description: partial 16S ribosomal RNA
Rfam family: Bacterial small subunit ribosomal RNA
Source: RNAcentral